Non-coding RNA from Paramisgurnus dabryanus, 639 nucleotides. The record is from RefSeq and is a predicted model, not a curated record. Lineage: Eukaryota; Metazoa; Chordata; Actinopteri; Cypriniformes; Cobitidae.
UCAGUGUAUAUCCUAGAGGUCUUACAGGCGCCACAGACACCUAUCAGCCUUUUGUAAGGAGGAGCAGCGCGAGUGCGGUGCGAGCCCUUCAAAUUAGAAAAGUGAUGAUGAUCUUGUCAAUGCUGAGAUUUUCAUGCAUCAACAGCCACUACAUCUGGAUCAGAUUGAACAAGAAACAGACAGCAAGGGUUGUCAGGUCAGAAACAGAAUGACACACAAACACGAGAAACUUCACAGGCAGAUCAACAUGCAAUUUGAAGACGUGUGAUAAAAUACAGAGAUGUGAAGUCGUGUGUCUUUCCAGAUGCCCAAAUCAUUCCCCCUUAAAAGAUGAGCCUGAAGAGGAGAUUUGGGAAGAUGCUGUUUCAUAAGUCGCUUUGCCAGAUCACCUGUGGUCGGGAUGUCUGCUAACAAGAUGCCUUGCUGGUUUGGGCGAGUUUAAAGUCUAACACAGACAGUCCAGAGGUUCUGAAGUCCAUCUUCGAUCUCAAUGAUGCUGUCAUCGUAUUAAGUACAGCAUGAGCCAGAAUGGAUGGGUGGUGGUGGCCAUAAGAAGACUGUCAACUAAAUCAACAACAAAAUUCAUAUUUGCAUUUUUUCUUGAAUAAAGUUUUUCUAUUCAGAUGAAUAAAAUGACUU